AGCUGCGGCUCGCCCAGUAUCAUCCCCUCAGCAGUGGCUAGUGACAGAACAUUAAGGCUGAAAAUAUGGAGAAACUGCUGCAUAGCGACAUGGCUGCGACCCAGGGACACGCAAAGAAUGGCCUAUGGCCUAAUCUCUAACCCUUGUUCAAAUUGUUCAAGUUGUGUACAGAUAGGGAUCCGAAUUCUGAAGUUUUCCUGUAACCUUCUCCUGUAACCAAUUGUUCAAAGUGCUGAUUUUGGUGUAA
RNAcentral lists this long non-coding RNA (247 nucleotides) under Oryza brachyantha (malo sina). RNAcentral describes it as "long non-coding RNA (OBRA_LNC003634)". The record is from RNAcentral. Lineage: Eukaryota; Viridiplantae; Streptophyta; Magnoliopsida; Poales; Poaceae.